AGCUCUUCCCCGUUAAUUACU
RNAcentral lists this non-coding RNA (21 nucleotides) under Caenorhabditis elegans. Lineage: Eukaryota; Metazoa; Nematoda; Chromadorea; Rhabditida; Rhabditidae. The record is from RNAcentral.